Molecule: ribosomal RNA, 546 nt
Filed under: uncultured Bacteroidota bacterium
Lineage: Bacteria; Pseudomonadati; Bacteroidota
Description: bacterial SSU rRNA
Rfam family: Bacterial small subunit ribosomal RNA
Source: RNAcentral
GGCUAACUCCGUGCCAGCAGCCGCGGUAAUACGGAGGAUCCNNNCGUUAUCCGGAUUUAUUGGGUUUAAAGGGUGCGUAGGCGGCCUGUUAAGUCAGGGGUGAAAGACGGUAGCUCAACUAUCGCAGUGCCCUUGAUACUGAUGGGCUUGAAUGUACUAGAGGUAGGCGGAAUGUGACAAGUAGCGGUGAAAUGCAUAGAUAUGUCACAGAACACCAAUUGCGAAGGCAGCUUACUAUGGUAUGAUUGACGCUGAGGCACGAAAGCGUGGGGAUCAAACAGGAUUAGAUACCCUGGUAGUCCACGCCCUAAACGAUGAAUACUCGAUGUUAGCGAUAUACAGUUAGCGUCAAAGCGAAAGCGUUAAGUAUUCCACCUGGGGAGUACGCCCGCAAGGGUGAAACUCAAAGGAAUUGACGGGGGCCCGCACAAGCGGAGGAGCAUGUGGUUUAAUUCGAUGAUACGCGAGGAACCUUACCCGGGCUUGAAAGUUAGUGAAUGGAGCAGAGACGCUCCAGUCCUUCGGGACACGAAACUAGGUGCUGCA